This is a long non-coding RNA of Haliotis rubra (blacklip abalone), 261 nucleotides long. RefSeq lists it as uncharacterized. Lineage: Eukaryota; Metazoa; Mollusca; Gastropoda; Lepetellida; Haliotidae. The transcript has 3 exons. The record is from RefSeq and is a predicted model, not a curated record.
GGCAAUGGAUACCAUGGAUUAUGCUGACACCAAUCAGGUUUGAGAGAACUGCCAGGCCUAUAGGAAGAGAAUGCGACAUUUGUCAAGGUGGAUACUAUUGUUGCUGCCUCUGUUUACAUCAUGUACACAUAACGAGGUACUGGUGGAAACAUGCAAAGGUGAAACUGCUUCUUUUCAGUGGGAUUACAAAGUCCCUCCCUUCUAUGCAGUUGAGUGGUAUUUUGGAAAGACACUAAUAGCAAAGGCAUUUGAAGAUCCUCU